This is a long non-coding RNA of Biomphalaria glabrata, 3778 nucleotides long. RefSeq lists it as uncharacterized. NCBI's taxonomy places the organism in Eukaryota, Metazoa, Mollusca, Gastropoda, Planorbidae. The transcript is spliced from 3 exons. The record is from RefSeq and is a predicted model, not a curated record.
UUUUUUUUUUAAAUCCAAAAUUAGAUCUAGAGUAAAGAGUCUACUCAGCGACUCAGCUACUGUCUACACUUCUCUCAUCCUUUUUCAACUAUUUCAACCUAAUUUAAAAUACAAUGGCCAUUUUCUUUAUCAGAUCUUUAUAGUAGUAUAGACUUCUGAUUCGUUGCUUGCAGUGGCACUGGAUGAUCCACAUGGAGAGAGAGCAUAUAUUUAAUUAUAAUAUUUUUUAUAAGUGGCUCAAGGGUGAAAAUGCAACGGCGACUGGUGAUUACAUAUGAUAUGCCCAACCUGUGACGGCAGCUGUGUAUCAAGGAUUGGCCUCUUUUGUCACACAAGAAGUUGCAAAGGGAAAAGAUCGUCUCUCGAGUCGUAAAAUAUCACAGAGUUGAAUGGACUCUAUGGAGUCAUUUUUGUCUUUUCCCGAUAUGACGGACUUAUCAACUUUUUUUUUAGUACAGUCAGUGAGUCACAGUCUACAGUAUUCUACACUCAACAGUACCUUGCCUUUAGCCUUACCAUAUGGUUGUUUUAGUGCAGUGGCAGUAGUACUUGCCAGUACCGUAGGCCUAAUUUUUCUACGUUACCAUUUGAAAACUUUCUUGGCAGGUUAAAACGAUAAAUUAGAAAACCAAGUUUCCCACUUUCUUAUAAUAGUUAAUUUCUAGAUUGUUGGAAAUAUAGCAUGCAUUAUAUGCCUUAUUGUCUUACAUUUGAAACACUUAGUUUACAUCAGAAAUUUAGUCUUAAAAAGGAACAUUCUAAUGGCCCAUUAGUUGCUGGAGAUAUAUGUAGAUCUUGUUCUCAGUUUAAGCAGGAAACUAUUAAUAUUUGUAUUGGCAUUGGUUUAGAUUACUUUUGUGUACAGAUAGAAAAGUUGUAAUAAAUUGAUAUAUGUAAUUUAUCAAAUGUUUUGAUAUUGAAGUUUUUUUUAUAUCCUAAAGAUUAUAAUUAUAUCUUAUAUCCAUUAGAGGUGCGGUGGCUGAGCAGUAAAGUGCUUGGCUUCUGAACUGAGGAUCCUUGGUUUGAAUCCUGGUGAAGACUGGGAUUUCUAAUUUCGGGAUCUUUAGGGUGCUUCUGGAUCCACCCAGCUCUAACAUGACACUGGUUGGGGGAAAGUCAAAGCAGUUGACGUUGUGCUUGUUAACGGUGGGUCGAAAAAAAGAUGACCUUUACAUCAUCUGCCCCAUAGAUUGCAAGGUCUGAAAGGGAAACUUUACUUUACAUUAGAUUCUGCUUUAUUGGAUUUUUUUGUUGCUUCUGAUCUUGACAAACAUCUUAAUAUAGCCAGUCCAGAAUCCAUUGCUUGUUAAUAUGUUAGACUAACAUAUACAAAUAAACAUGUGUUUUUUCCAUUAAGGCACACUUUGUGUGAAUCAGCAUCAUGUUCUUGAUCUAGUAGGCCUUAGAUUUAUAAUAGUUUUAGUGUCAUUAAAGAAAUAAGUUCAUACUUGCUUAAUAAAAGUAAAUGUUCAGGAUUGAAAACACAUACAAUAUGCAACAAAAGGAAAAUUUAAUGCACACAAAAUUGAAGUUUUUGAACAGUCAAAAUAUAACUUAAAUAAUUGCUUUCUUAAAUGCUAUACAUUCUAGACAUAAAAAAUGUUUAUUGCACAUGUGCAAAGGUAUUUCAACUAAUUUAUUUGUAAGCUGAAUUUUUUGUUAUAUGGUUAAAUAAAAAUAAGUUAAAAUAAAAUAUUUCUUAAGAUGUAUGUAGAACACUAAUAUUUUAUUGUAGAAAUAAAUUAGGCUAGGAGCAGCAAAUAUGCAUAUUUAUUAAACACUAAUUUAAAUAUUAUUUAGAAUGUUGGCUGUGGCUAUUUUUAAGGAAGUAGAGGCUGUGCCUAUAUUACCUGGCUGUCACCAUUCCAGACCAUUGUGUCAAGGCUACCUUUUAAAGCGCCGAAAGUAUCAAAAUGUGUUAAAGAGCAGCAGCCUGCUGAUAAAGCAUGGCCAACCUAUCACGUUAGGAUCCUGAGAUGCUAUGGCAAUUAUUUAAACAUGUUUCAACUAAGUAACACAUUUAAUUUAUAUCAAUAAUAGUAAAUCUAUAGUUUUGAAUGACUAAAUAUUUUAGCAUUGCCUUUUUUUAAAUCUUGAAAGUGAAUUUUGCAGAAAACUAUGAGGAUGCCAAGAAAAGAUCCAUUCUGACAAAAGAAACAUCUGAUUUGAAUGACAUCUCUCUUCUACAUUAAGUAAGAAGGGCAGACUAAAAAGGACCUUUUUAAGUUCUGAGGAAGAAACUCUGCUGUUAAAAAAGGCUGAGAAAGCCACAGCAUCUUUGCCCCUCAAGGUUUCUAAGGACUUAAGACUUCUGGGCAAAGCCUGUCAAACAAGAAUUGAAAAUGGAAAGAUUGUUAUAAUCAUUUAAUGAAUAUGUUAUAAUCAUUUAAUGAAUAGAUGUUUUAGUUGAGAUGAUAAAACAUCAUUGCUUAUUUUAAAACUAUAUUUUCUUCUUCAGAAUCUACAAUCACUAUUUUGAAAACCCUGGUGAAAGUUAUAAAGCACCAGGUGAUGUCACUUUCUGGAUUACGUGACACCAUCCAGCAACUUAGGGAUGAAAUAGCACAGUGGGCGCAUGUGAUAACCUCACUGCAACCUCCACUAGUGGAAGAAAAUGUUGCAGUGAGCCUGCCUCUUUCUAGCUUGAAAGAAUUUGAUAGCCAUGAGGAGAAGUUAUCUUAUAAUAAUGUACAGAAAGUUUAUGAUUGGCGAAUAGUCUCAUUUUGGCGGACUUUACAUAAAACUCAUGGUAAAUAAACUAUUGGACAAGGUUAUGACCACAACACUCCAAUGUGAAUUCAAUUGGGCAAGAAAACCAGGCUGGACAGAGAAUGGAAUGGCAAGGAGACAGAGAAUGAAAUGGCAAGGAGAGGGUUUCAAAAGUGUCAACUGUUAUGCAUUAUAAUUACAGGUCAGUGUAAUCUACUAUAUCCCUAUAUUUUGUCAGCUUAUUAGUAAAAGUAAUGAAAGCAUUUCAAUGCAGUACUUAAACAUGUUGUAAAGAAUUGUUUUGUACAUUUCAAGCAGAAGUAUUAUUUUAGUUUGUAAUUUAGACACUUUAUUUGUAAAUAUCUAAUUAGUGGUAGAAAUAAAAAUGUCAUAUUCUUACAUCAAAUAGCUGAUGCCAUUGUUUCUUUUCUGGGUAGGAAGCUUGCUAAAUAUUUUAAUGACUUCCGUAAUUCAAUCAUAACAUUUUGAAGCUAGCUCGAAUGAAGAAAAUAUUUUCAUGCAUAAAAGUAUAUCUAAGGAACGCACAUGACAGGCAAGGUGGUAGACAUAGAAGAAUGGAGACAGGUAUGGCAAUUUUUAAAUUCAUUUUUAUAUAAGCGUGGUCGAGAAGCCAAGUACACUUGAAAUUGGCUUGGCUACCUAGAAGGGGGCUCGAGGUUCGACAGCCGACUCAGGCAGAGUUGUGUUUACUGAGCGCCCAAAGGCAGCACGGAAAACCAACUCCUAGAUACUCCCUCCCCCCACUGGUCCACAAAUGAGAUUGGACUGCAGCGCUCUGAGCAUGCUAUAAGCAUGAAAGUAGCGCUAUAUAAAAGCUAUAAUAAUAAUAAAUUAUGCCAACAAAAUUUUUUUUUUACUACUUUGCAGUAUGAGAUUUAUUGAUGCUUUAGCUUUAAAUUUACUUGUAAAUUCCUUUUUAUGAGUAUAUGUAUAUGCAAAAAAAAUAUUUUCUUUAUCUUCCUUUUUUAAUUUUUUUUUUCAGCAGCUUUUGGAGAGAUGAUUCAAGUGUGAAAAUAUGUAAAAGACUAGUACUAUAUUACAAACAAAU